This 447-nucleotide ribosomal RNA is filed under the name uncultured bacterium. RNAcentral describes it as "bacterial SSU rRNA". It matches the Rfam family "Bacterial small subunit ribosomal RNA", at positions 355 to 825 of the family's 1533-position model. The record is from RNAcentral.
UCGGGAAUUUUGGGCAAUGGGCGAAAGCCUGACCCAGCAACGCCGCGUGAAGGAUGAAGUAUUUCGGUAUGUAAACUUCGAAAGAAUAGGAAGAAUAAAUGACGGUACUAUUUAUAAGGUCCGGCUAACUACGUGCCAGCAGCCGCGGUAAUGCGUAGGGACCAAGCGUUGUUCGGAUUUACUGGGCGUAAAGGGUGCGUAGGUUGUUUGAUAAGAUAUAUGUGAAAUACCUGGGCUCAACCUGGGAAGGUCAUAUAAGACUGUCAGACUCGAGUAUGGGAGAGGGUAGAGGAAUUUCCGGUGUAGCGGUGAAAUGCGUAGAUAUCGGAAGGAACAUCGGUGGCGAAGGCGUCUACCUGGCCUAAUACUGACACUGAGGCACGAAAGCGUGGGGAGCAAACAGGAUUAGAUACCCAUGUAGUCCCUGAGCGGGCUGGCAAGGCGCAU